AUGUCACCACAGGUCACCACAGGUCACCGCGGUCACCAUGUCACCACAGGUCACCACGGGUCACCACGGGUCACCCCAGGUCACCACAGGUCACCACAAGUCACCACAGGUCACCACAAGUCACCACAGGUCACCACAAGUCACCGCGGGUCACCAUGUCACCACAGGUCACCACGGGUCACCGCAAGUCACCACAAGUCACCACAAGUCACCACAGGUUACCACAGGUCACCACGAGUCACCACGAGUCACCACGGGUCACCACGGGUCACCACAGGUCACCGCAGGUCACCGCGGGUCACCACAAGUCACCACAGGUCACCACAAGUCACCACAAGUCACCGCGGGUCACCACGGGUCACCACGGUCAACGCAAGUAACCACAGGUCACCACAGGUCACCGCGGGUCACCAUGUCACCCACAGGUCACCACAGGUCACCGCGAGUCACCACGAGUCACCACGGGUCACCACAGGUCACCGCAAGUCACCACAGGUCACCAUGUCACCACAAGUCACCACAGGUCACCCCAUGUCACCCCAGGUCACCACAAGUCACCACAGGUCACCACAAGUCACCCGGGUCACCAUGUCACCACAGGUCACCACAGGUCACCGCAAGUCACCACAAGUCACCACAAGUCACCACAGGUCACCACAGGUCACCGCGAGUCACCACGGGUCACCACGGGUCACCACGGGUCACCACAGGUCACCACAGGUCACCACGGGUCACCACAAGUCACCACAGGUCACCACAAGUCACCACAAGUCACCACAAGUCACCGCGGGUCACCACGGUCACCACGGGUCAACGCAAGUAACCACAGGUCACCACAGGUCACCGCGGGUCACCAUGUCACCACAGGUCACCACAGGUCACCGCGAGUCACCACGAGUCACCACGGGUCACCACAGGUCACCGCAAGUAACCACAGGUCACCAUGUCACCACAAGUCACCACAGGUCACCAUGUCACCACAAGUCACCACAGGUCACCAUGUCACCACAAGUCACCACAGGUCACACCAUGUCACCCCGGGUCACCACAGGUCACCACAGGUCACCAUGUCACCACAAGUCACCACAGUCACCAUGUCACCACAAGUCACCCCAGGUCACCCCAUGUCACCACAAGUCACCACAGGUCACCAUGUCACCACAAGUCACCACAGGUCACACCAUGUCACCCCGGGUCACCACAGGUCAGAGGUUACCGCCACGUGACUCCGCCCACCUUCCUCAGGAUGGUGUCGACGCUCCUCCUCAGAGGGUGGUUGUACUUGACGGCCUCGCUGACCUUCCUGACCUCCUGCAGAGACGCCGACAGCAUGAGGGCGCGGCCCCGACCGCGGAGCCCCAAGCCCCGCCCCCACGCACCUCCAUCACGUCCUCCAGGUUCUCCUCGGCGUCCGCCUUCUCCGUCAUCAGCUUGGCCGCCUUGAAGUAUGUUUUGGCGAGCAGGUGUCCGUGGCGGGACGCGUUCCAGUAG
Molecule: long non-coding RNA, 1491 nt
Filed under: Oryzias javanicus (javanese ricefish)
Lineage: Eukaryota; Metazoa; Chordata; Actinopteri; Beloniformes; Adrianichthyidae
Description: lncRNA (ENSOJAG00000015589.1)
Source: RNAcentral